AGUGAACGCUGGCGGUAGGCCUAACACAUGCAAGUCGAACGGCAGCACAGUAAGAGCUUGCUCUUACGGGUGGCGAGUGGCGGACGGGUGAGGAAUACAUCGGAAUCUACUUUUUCGUGGGGGAUAACGUAGGGAAACUUACGCUAAUACCGCAUACGACCUACGGGUGAAAGCAGGGGAUCUUCGGACCUUGCGCGAUUGAAUGAGCCGAUGUCGGAUUAGCUAGUUGGCGGGGUAAAGGCCCACCAAGGCGACGAUCCGUAGCUGGUCUGAGAGGAUGAUCAGCCACACUGGAACUGAGACACGGUCCAGACUCCUACGGGAGGCAGCAGUGGGGAAUAUUGGACAAUGGGCGCAAGCCUGAUCCAGCCAUACUGCGUGGGUGAAGAGGGCCUUCGGGUUGUAAAGCCCUUUUGUUGGGAAAGAAAAGCAGCAGGUUAAUACCCCGCUGUUCUGACGGUACCCAAAGAAUAAGCACCGGCUAACUUCGUG
RNAcentral lists this ribosomal RNA (492 nucleotides) under uncultured bacterium. RNAcentral describes it as "partial 16S ribosomal RNA". It matches the Rfam family "Bacterial small subunit ribosomal RNA", at positions 29 to 507 of the family's 1533-position model. The record is from RNAcentral.